RNAcentral lists this ribosomal RNA (2020 nucleotides) under Shigella sonnei. RNAcentral's name for it is "partial 23S ribosomal RNA". It matches the Rfam family "Bacterial large subunit ribosomal RNA", at positions 919 to 2915 of the family's 2925-position model. The record is from RNAcentral. Lineage: Bacteria; Pseudomonadati; Pseudomonadota; Gammaproteobacteria; Enterobacterales; Enterobacteriaceae.
CAAGGGGGUCAUCCCGACUUACCAACCCGAUGCAAACUGCGAAUACCGGAGAAUGUUAUCACGGGAGACACACGGCGGGUGCUAACGUCCGUCGUGAAGAGGGAAACAACCCAGACCGCCAGCUAAGGUCCCAAAGUCAUGGUUAAGUGGGAAACGAUGUGGGAAGGCCCAGACAGCCAGGAUGUUGGCUUAGAAGCAGCCAUCAUUUAAAGAAAGCGUAAUAGCUCACUGGUCGAGUCGGCCUGCGCGGAAGAUGUAACGGGGCUAAACCAUGCACCGAAGCUGCGGCAGCGAUGCUUAUGCGUUGUUGGGUAGGGGAGCGUUCUGUAAGCCUGCGAAGGUGUGCUGUGAGGCAUGCUGGAGGUAUCAGAAGUGCGAAUGCUGACAUAAGUAACGAUAAAGCGGGUGAAAAGCCCGCUCGCCGGAAGACCAAGGGUUCCUGUCCAACGUUAAUCGGGGCAGGGUGAGUCGACCCCUAAGGCGAGGCCGAAAGGCGUAGUCGAUGGGAAACAGGUUAAUAUUCCUGUACUUGGUGUUACUGCGAAGGGGGGACGGAGAAGGCUAUGUUGGCCGGGCGACGGUUGUCCCGGUUUAAGCGUGUAGGCUGGUUUUCCAGGCAAAUCCGGAAAAUCAAGGCUGAGGCGUGAUGACGAGGCACUACGGUGCUGAAGCAACAAAUGCCCUGCUUCCAGGAAAAGCCUCUAAGCAUCAGGUAACAUCAAAUCGUACCCCAAACCGACACAGGUGGUCAGGUAGAGAAUACCAAGGCGCUUGAGAGAACUCGGGUGAAGGAACUAGGCAAAAUGGUGCCGUAACUUCGGGAGAAGGCACGCUGAUAUGUAGGUGAAGUCCCUUGCGGAUGGAGCUGAAAUCAGUCGAAGAUACCAGCUGGCUGCAACUGUUUAUUAAAAACACAGCACUGUGCAAACACGAAAGUGGACGUAUACGGUGUGACGCCUGCCCGGUGCCGGAAGGUUAAUUGAUGGGGUCAGCGCAAGCGAAGCUCUUGAUCGAAGCCCCGGUAAACGGCGGCCGUAACUAUAACGGUCCUAAGGUAGCGAAAUUCCUUGUCGGGUAAGUUCCGACCUGCACGAAUGGCGUAAUGAUGGCCAGGCUGUCUCCACCCGAGACUCAGUGAAAUUGAACUCGCUGUGAAGAUGCAGUGUACCCGCGGCAAGACGGAAAGACCCCGUGAACCUUUACUAUAGCUUGACACUGAACAUUGAGCCUUGAUGUGUAGGAUAGGUGGGAGGCUUUGAAGUGUGGACGCCAGUCUGCAUGGAGCCGGCCUUGAAAUACCACCCUUUAAUGUUUGAUGUUCUAACGUGGACCCGUGAUCCGGGUUGCGGACAGUGUCUGGUGGGUAGUUUGACUGGGGCGGUCUCCUCCUAAAGAGUAACGGAGGAGCACGAAGGUUGGCUAAUCCUGGUCGGACAUCAGGAGGUUAGUGCAAUGGCAUAAGCCAGCUUGACUGCGAGCGUGACGGCGCGAGCAGGUGCGAAAGCAGGUCAUAGUGAUCCGGUGGUUCUGAAUGGAAGGGCCAUCGCUCAACGGAUAAAAGGUACUCCGGGGAUAACAGGCUGAUACCGCCCAAGAGUUCAUAUCGACGGCGGUGUUUGGCACCUCGAUGUCGGCUCAUCACAUCCUGGGGCUGAAGUAGGUCCCAAGGGUAUGGCUGUUCGCCAUUUAAAGUGGUACGCGAGCUGGGUUUAGAACGUCGUGAGACAGUUCGGUCCCUAUCUGCCGUGGGCGCUGGAGAACUGAGGGGGGCUGCUCCUAGUACGAGAGGACCGGAGUGGACGCAUCACUGGUGUUCGGGUUGUCAUGCCAAUGGCACUGCCCGGUAGCUAAAUGCGGAAGAGAUAAGUGCUGAAAGCAUCUAAGCACGAAACUUGCCCCGAGAUGAGUUCUCCCUGACCCUUUAAGGGUCCUGAAGGAACGUUGAAGACGACGACGUUGAUAGGCCGGGUGUGUAAGCGCAGCGAUGCGUUGAGCUAACCGGUACUAAUGAACCGUGAGG